RNAcentral lists this small RNA (153 nucleotides) under Arabidopsis thaliana (thale cress). Its description in RNAcentral is "ATSL146430". The record is from RNAcentral. Lineage: Eukaryota; Viridiplantae; Streptophyta; Magnoliopsida; Brassicales; Brassicaceae.
CUCAGUGUGAACAAAUCCAUCGUUUGAGGGGAAUUGUGUGUCUGAGAAUCUUGGCAUGUUCUUGCCAAGUGAAUAGUAUGCUGAUGGAAGUCUUUGCUCUGAGCAAGCCAUUGCGUAAAGAGACUGCGUUAACGACUCCCCCGGUUGAAUCAU